This 649-nucleotide small RNA is filed under the name Vigna angularis var. angularis. RNAcentral describes it as "Non-protein coding transcript". The record is from RNAcentral. Lineage: Eukaryota; Viridiplantae; Streptophyta; Magnoliopsida; Fabales; Fabaceae.
ACCAGAAAAAAGGACGCAGAGGGUUUUGAAACUGCCCUCUCCAACCAAACCCCUCCACCCUACAGGGUGCAUCCCUCCACCACCCUUUGCUUAUGCAAAAUCCACACCAACAAAGUAGCUAUUUGAGGCAGAUCGAGGGAUGAGGAAGAAGGACGCGUCGCGAGUCUAACCGCAACAGAGAACAAAGAUCGCCGCUAAAGGAAGAAACUAUAAGCUCCACCUGCAGAAAACCAAAACAAAAAAAAAAACACCACAGAUCACCAAUGCUCUACGCGAGCCAUCACAGUGAACUCCUCUGUUGUUCGCCGACAAUGAACCAGACCACACCGCGAAGGGAGAUAAAGUUGUUCCUCUAUGGCACGAUGCAGAAACAGAAAAGAGAAGAAAGCUAGAAUGCGAGAAACUCAGGUUCUAAAACUCUCUUGAAAUCCAUGGCUAGAACGAAACACUAGAUUGGUCAUGACGAAGACGCGCCGUUGGUGGUGAAGCAAGGAUGCAGAAGAUAGAUUGGGAAGACGAAAAUUGAGGAUUUUCCCCAAUUUAGGGUUCAUUAACAAUAAGGUUUCAGAUUUGGGAUUUUUCCCUUCUUGAUUCUGAAGGAUUAAUUAAAGUUCCUAAUUUGCAAAUUUAGGGUUUUUCGAAUUAGAAA